This 26-nucleotide non-coding RNA is filed under the name Mus musculus (house mouse). Lineage: Eukaryota; Metazoa; Chordata; Mammalia; Rodentia; Muridae. The record is from RNAcentral.
UAGGCAGGCGCAUUGGAAAAUACCAG